GACGAACGCUGGCGGCGUGCCUAAUACAUGCAGGUCGAGCGCAGGAAGUCAUCCGAACCCUUCGGGGGGACGUUGACGGAAUGAGCGGCGGACGGGUGAGUAACACGUAAAGAACCUGCCCUCAGGUCUGGGAUAACCACGAGAAAUCGGGGCUAAUACCGGAUGGGUCAUCGGACCGCAUGGUCCGAGGAUGAAAGGCGCUCCGGCGUCGCCUGGGGAUGGCUUUGCGGUGCAUUAGCUAGUUGGUGGGGUAAUGGCCCACCAAGGCGACGAUGCAUAGCCGACCUGAGAGGGUGAUCGGCCACACUGGGACUGAGACACGGCCCAGACUCCUACGGGAGGCAGCAGUAGGGAAUCUUCCACAAAGGACGAAAGUCUGAUGGAGCAACGCCGCGUGAACGAUGAAGGCCCUCGGGUCGUAAAGUUCUGUUGUAAGGGAAGAACAAGUGCCGCAGGCAAUGGCGGCACCUUGACGGUACCUUGCGAGAAAGCCACGGCUAACUACGUG
RNAcentral lists this ribosomal RNA (508 nucleotides) under uncultured bacterium. RNAcentral's name for it is "partial 16S ribosomal RNA". It matches the Rfam family "Bacterial small subunit ribosomal RNA", at positions 28 to 507 of the family's 1533-position model. The record is from RNAcentral.